CCAUCACACUUGCAAUUUCUGGGACUUUUUUUUUCACUAGGAAUCAAACUCAAGACUUUGUGCUUGCCAGGCAGGUUCUUGUACUGCUGAUCUAUAUCCCUGGUUCUGGGACAGUUCUUGUUAAUGUGUUUUUCACCUGGUUAUAGGUAGGGAGCCAUGCGACAGCCCCAUUGCUGCCUCCCUGUCUCUCUCCUAAGGGCAUAAUGCGUCUGCCUACAUUAACCAUAAUCCUCUCCUGCUUACGUCACAUACCCAGACGUGACGAUGACCCUGUUGUAUUCAUCCCCGUAGUCUCUUCCUGAACCACCAGCCCGCCCUUGGCCUAUAAAAGCUGUAAUCACUUCUGGAAUAAACGGGGCUUGAUUGGAUUCUCUCGACUUGCCUCAGUCUCUCUGUCUGUCUCCCCCAGGUGUUUAUUUAAUCCCUGUUCCCCCUCCAGGUACACCCCACGGAUUGAUCCGUGGGCUGGAUGAAGUGGCGCCCAGCAUGGGGGCUCCUGGCACGGGGGAGUCAACGAGGGAGCCGUUCAAAAAAGCCGGCUGAAAAUGAAAGCAAAUUGAACCAAAGACCGCAGCGAAAAGUAAAAACAAACUAAAUCAAAGACUAAGGCUAAAAGCAAAAGUACAUUAAAUUAAGGAUCGAGGCCUGCGCGGACAACUGCCCAACAUCCCGCCCGAGUCACAGUGAGUGAACGGCGACCCAUUCCCUUUCCCGGACAUGGAUCAAGCUUUGAACGAACACAAAUUGUUCAUGGGAGGCCUUAUAAAGGCAUUCAAGACAAGAGGGAUGACACAACUCCUCGAAACCUUAUGCUGCCUACUCAGCCUUCUCCUCAGAUCAUACCACACCCAUGGUGGAUUUAGACCCCUGCCAAACAGACUACAACUGCUGACAGCCAUGCACAGAACCCCCUGUGAGUGUGGAAGAGGCUCUUCUAGGUCUGGAGGAACAUAAAUCAGCCAAAUAGACUGCAUCUGGUGUUAUGCGAGGCAAGCUCCAAGAAAUAGAAGAAUGACUUCAACAGCAACAACAACAAAUGGCUGCCAACCCCUUCUCCUCGAUGUGUGUGUUGGGGGGAACUUUUCCCUUACCUAGCUCCCCUUUUGAGUCCCCUAGCUGCCCUAUUGCUUCUCCUUUCUGUGAGUCCUUGUAUUUUUCAGAGGAUUAUGACGCUCAUUAAUAACCAGAUAGACACGUUUACAGCAAAGCCCAUUUAGAUACACUAUCAUCAGCUGGAGAUGGCAGAUCAACCAACCUACCGGGAAGGAAUUCCCACGAAUGGCCCAUAUGACGAUGCGGCCUAACUGCCAUUGGGCAAUGGACAGGCAGUCAGAGACGGGCAACUAGGACAUGCAUGUUAACUCCAUCGGCCGCCUAAGGCAGGCGCAGGACCAACUGCUGUCCUGCAAGCCCAUGACGGGUAAGGCCUGGUUGGGUUCAUGUAAUGAGGUCCUUGACCUAAGACAGAUGCUGUCCUCCCAGGGCCUGCCAUACUCCUAAUUAAAUAAUGUAGAAAGGGAGGAGAUAUAGGGAGCCGUGCGAGAGCACCAUUGCUGCCUCCCUGUCUCUAUCUCCUAUGGGCACAAUGCAUCUGCCUAUAUUAACCAUAAUCCUCUCCUGCUUACAUCACAUACCUGGAUGUGACAAUGAUCCUGUUGUAUUCAUCCCUGUAGUCUCUUCCUGUCCCUCCAGCCUGCCCUUGGCCUAUAAAAGAUGUAAUCACUUCUGGAAUAAAUGGGGCUUGAUUGGAUUCUCUUGA
Molecule: long non-coding RNA, 1759 nt
Organism: Cavia porcellus (domestic guinea pig)
Lineage: Eukaryota; Metazoa; Chordata; Mammalia; Rodentia; Caviidae
Exons: 2
Source: RefSeq, a predicted model, not a curated record